RNAcentral lists this ribosomal RNA (540 nucleotides) under uncultured bacterium. RNAcentral describes it as "bacterial SSU rRNA". It matches the Rfam family "Bacterial small subunit ribosomal RNA", at positions 1 to 485 of the family's 1533-position model. The record is from RNAcentral.
GAUCAGCCGUACUCCGAAUGNCUCUAGAUUAAAGUUUGAUCAUGGCUCAGACCGAGCGCGUUAAGCGGCAGGCCUAACACAUGCAAGUCGAACGGUAACAGGAAGCAGCUUGCUGCUUUGCUGACGAGUGGCGGACGGUGAGUAAUGUCUAGGGAAACUGCCUAGAUGGAGGGGGAUAACUACUGGAAACGGUAGCUAAUACCGCAUAACGUCGCAAGACCAAAGAGGGGGACCUUCGGGCCUCUUGCCAUCGGAUAGUAGCCCAGAUAGGGAUUAGCUAGUAGGUGGGGUAACGGCUACACCUAGGCGACGAUCCCUAGCUAGGUACUGAGAGGAUGACCAGCCACACUAGGAACUGAGACACGGUCCAGACUCCUACGGGAGGCAGCAGUAGGGGAAUAUUGCACAAUAGAGGCGCAAGCCUAGAUAGCAGCCAUAGCCGCGUAGUAUAGAAGAAGGCCUNUCGGGUAGUGAAGUACUUUCAGGCGGGGGAGNGCAAGGUGUAAGAGGUUAAUAACCUUCAGGCAAUUAGACCGUAAA